Molecule: unclassified non-coding RNA, 209 nt
Filed under: Hevea brasiliensis (rubber tree)
Lineage: Eukaryota; Viridiplantae; Streptophyta; Magnoliopsida; Malpighiales; Euphorbiaceae
Source: RNAcentral
GAAGUGGCAGGGAACAUAGAUGACCUUGCUAUUCUACUUUUGUGAAAAUCCUUGCUGGAAUUAGUACCGAUCACAGGAUCCGAAUGAGUUCCAUUGGAAGAGUCCUGAUUGCCGUAAUCUUCAUAAGAGCAAAGAAUGUCAUCGGAACCGAAAUCGAAACCCUUCGAGCCCGAGUUGGCCCGACCCGACGAUCCAGAUGCCAUUUUGGG